UAGGGAAUCUUCCACAAUGGACGAAAGUCUGAUGGAGCAACGCCGCGUGAGUGAAGAAGGGUUUCGGCUCGCAAAACUCUGUUGUUAAAGAAGAACAUAUCCGAGAGUAACUGUUCAGGUAUUGACGGUAUUUAACCAGAAAGCCACGGCUAACUACGUGCCCG
This 164-nucleotide ribosomal RNA is filed under the name uncultured bacterium. RNAcentral describes it as "partial 16S ribosomal RNA". It matches the Rfam family "Bacterial small subunit ribosomal RNA", at positions 355 to 511 of the family's 1533-position model. The record is from RNAcentral.